Molecule: non-coding RNA, 105 nt
Organism: Acanthosepion pharaonis
Lineage: Eukaryota; Metazoa; Mollusca; Cephalopoda; Sepiida; Sepiidae
Source: the annotation of a GenBank genome assembly
UACAGCCAUAUCACUUUGAAACAUCAGUUCUCAUACGUCCACUGAAGUUAAGCCACAUCGAGCUUGGUUAGUACCUAGAUGGGUGACCGCUUGGGAAUACCAGGU